GUGUUCAUGACUGCCCUCAUGAGUGAAAGAACUGCAGUGUUUGUGUUUUCUAAACUCAGGAGUCUUGGCUAAAGAAAGAGCGGCAGGGUGAUUUAAAGAAAUCCCCUGUCAUUUAAAUUGGUUCUUCGAACCUAGAGAUGGAAACACCAGAUACAUUUCUGUGACUCCAAUAAGGUCUGAUUGCUGCAUCCUGACGUCGUGGAAAAGCCAGAACCGAAGUCUGUCGACAGCCCUCUCUAGGUAGAGGUGAAAGCCCUGGGCGUAAAUUCGUAUCCAGGCCGGGCCUGGUCCACGGCGUUGGGGUCCAGCCAGAUGACCUGAACAACCAGCAAAAGACGACUGAGGGUGAGAAAACACUUUUUGGUUUUAAAACCGGAAGGGUUUAGAAGAAUGCGCAAAAUAGGUUGGAAGUAGCCGGAAUUACUUCAGGAUACGCGUAAAAUAGGUUGGAAGUAGCCGGAAUUACUUCAAAGAAGCACGUGAAAUAGGUUGAGUUCGCCGGAAGGAACUAAGUUUAGACUGGUUCUAGAGGUAGCCGUCAAAUACCUCGUGACAAAUAAGGUUUAAGUUCGCCACAAGGAACUGUGUUUAGACAGGUUUCAGAAGUAGCCGGAAUUACUUCGUGACAAAUUAGCGCGCAAAUGUCUAUCUGUGUGUAUGUAUAUGUGUUUUAUGUGUAUGUGUUUUGGAAGUAAGUUGAUUUUACAGCACAAUACGCUGCUGAACUACUUCCAUUGUUUGUUUUUUAUUGUUUUCUUUGUGUAUCCUGCAAAAAGCUCAAGUACUGGUGACGAAGGGAAAAGGUUGGGCUUUGUCUCAUAAAACUGACACCGGUCCAGGAAUAGCCCGGAGUAGGAGGCCGUGUCAGCAACCACCCCCGAGUCUAGUACCAGAGAAAGCUUUGCAGUUCUGUGAUAAUGGGGAAUCAGCCCACAAAACUCACUGUUGACGAGCAGUGGUUAGAAAAGAAAUGUCCAGGCGCCGGACAAAUUAGUGCAUAUAGAUGGAGAAAUCCAAAGAACACCUAAAUGUCCCACGUGGGAGGGAAAAUGUAUAACUAAAUUAUAAGAAACCCUGCAAGCAGAAAUAAAUACUGAAAAGGAAGCUAAAAAGAAAUCAAAGCAUACACAAGAGUUGUAUUUUAGAGCAUGGAAAGAGGAAUGAAGUGGAAUAAACAAAAGGUUAAAUUAAGGUUAACUUAAAUUAAAUUAGAGCUUAUCGCUACUAUAUUCAAACUAAUAAUAGGAAGCAUAGCAACCUGUAAAUUGGUAUUACCAAAUGAUACAAAAUUGGGUAGACAACCAUACCCAGAAUGAAUAGAAUGAAUGAAAGCAGAUAAUUCACACAAAAUAUAUCAAAUAAAAAAAGAGAGAUGCAUAAGGCAUAUUACGGCUGUGUCAUUGUUCAGCCAAAGAAAGAGUGUGAAAAUACAAAUGUCUCCAGCUUGGGAAGGUGUGAAGCUGCAGGUUCACACAGACCCGUGAUGGAUACAUAAUAAAAUAUAAACUAAUAUACUAUUGUAUAUUAAUAGUAAAGUAGUAAAGUAGUGUAUUGUAAUAUACUAUUGCUGUUAUAAUAAAGGAAAAACAAUACAAUGAUAACAUUAAUAAUGACAUAAUAUUAAUAAUAGACACCUCAGUCAGUUAUGAUGUGAGGUGGAUAAUUGUUAAAAGUAGUCUGAUUCAAGCUUAAGGUUUGCUCAAACUCAGUACAAUGAUAUAUGAGAUAACUAUUGUUUGCAAAUAUUGCUAAAUGCCUGUAAUUAAGAGGCUGGUUUUGCAUUAUGAGAGUAUGAAUACAGUUUGAACAUACUAGUGUGGAUGUAUAGUAAGUGACUGAAUUUUGAUAGAUGUAUAUAUCUUGAGCCAUAAAGGCUGGUGUGUUUUAUUUUUUUAGUUAUGUGUGUGUGGGGAGAAGCUGUGAGGACGAUGAGAGGUUUCAGUUUUCCCCUUCUCAGUUUUCCUUUUCUUUUUUCUUUUGACUUGCUCUUUCUGAUCAUGGAAGGCAUGUCCAAAAUACUCGUAUGAAAGCGUAUUUUGUGUGAUUUUAACUGUGUGAAUGCUGUCAGUAUUUGAUUUAAGUGACUCUGCAUGAUUUGUCUGAGUGUAAAAUGGAAGUUUGAGAGAGAAAAGGCAGUGCGUGUGAGACGAGUCAUGGCGUCUGAAAGAGGUUAGAGCAUUUCAAAGGGGUGUAUGAAAUAAAGGAGUGUGAAAUAUAUUUCUUUUGUGAUGUAAAAUAGGAGGUUUAAAGUUUGCAAGUGCUUUUAAUUCAAGAAACGCAUGAGUGAGGUUAUGAUGUGUGGAAGAGCUCGGUUUAAAUGUGUGUGAGUGAAAUGAAGGUGUAUUGUUUUUAGACUAAGAUUUAGUAGAAUAAAAGAGGGCCUGUAGACUAUAAAUACAAAGAAAAAAACAAAGGAGUUAGAUUAGUUUGAAGAACAGGAAAUAUGGCUCUGUGUACCGGGGCUGCAGCGACAGGAAAUAGUGAACAGGAACUUUGCAUGCCCAUAUAUGGGAACUGAGUGUGUAAAGAAAGAACACAGAGAGACAGACGAGGCCCAUGGAGCAAAUGAAGCCUUUAAGAAAAAUGAAUAUAUUACUAAUUGUAUGCUUUAGUGUCUCAAUACAGGUGGACUCUCUCAACAUUGCAACCUUGAGUUCAGCAGCAGAAAAGUAGAUUAAAAGAAUUGGGAGAAUAAGCCAGUUUUUGGCUCGAAAUUGUGCGGCUGGAUCUCUCACUUUGUCCCUGAAGCGGAGAAGAAGUUCAAAGGACAGUCAAUCGCCUGAUGAAGACCGACAGAACAUCGUGGACUUGAAUACAGCAGGCAAACGACAGUGCCACUGAUCCAUUAACACUGAUGACGACUGACGACCAGCAGCAGCAUGUAAGACUAAUGCAACAUGUACUGUGAAAAUACAGGCUGGGCAGUUGAACAGUGGGAUAAAGAAUUGUGGAAGAGCACUGGACAUUGAGUGAUAUUUUGCCAUGCUGGGCAGUUGAACAGUGGGAUAAAGAAUUGUGGAAGAGCACUGGACAUU
Long non-coding RNA from Oreochromis aureus, 3035 nucleotides. The record is from Ensembl. Lineage: Eukaryota; Metazoa; Chordata; Actinopteri; Cichliformes; Cichlidae.